AAGGUACCGAGAGCUUGCUCUCGGGUGACUAGCGGCGGACGGGUGAGUAAUGUCUGGGAAACUGCCUGAUGGAGGGGGAUAACUACUGGAAACGGUAGCUAAUACCGCAUAACGUCGCAAGACCAAAGUGGGGGACCUUCGGGCCUCAUGCCAUCAGAUGUGCCCAGAUGGGAUUAGCUGGUAGGUGGGGUAACGGCUCACCUAGGCGACGAUCCCUAGCUGGUCUGAGAGGAUGACCAGCCACACUGGAACUGAGACACGGUCCAGACUCCUACGGGAGGCAGCAGUGGGGAAUAUUGCACAAUGGGCGCAAGCCUGAUGCAGCCAUGCCGCGUGUGUGAAGAAGGCCUUCGGGUUGUAAAGCACUUUCAGCGGGGAGGAAGGCGG
Molecule: ribosomal RNA, 387 nt
Filed under: Klebsiella sp. KS6N1
Lineage: Bacteria; Pseudomonadati; Pseudomonadota; Gammaproteobacteria; Enterobacterales; Enterobacteriaceae
Description: bacterial SSU rRNA
Rfam family: Bacterial small subunit ribosomal RNA
Source: RNAcentral